This 429-nucleotide ribosomal RNA is filed under the name Acidobacteriota bacterium. Its description in RNAcentral is "Acidobacteria bacterium partial 16S ribosomal RNA". It matches the Rfam family "Bacterial small subunit ribosomal RNA", at positions 355 to 776 of the family's 1533-position model. The record is from RNAcentral. Lineage: Bacteria; Pseudomonadati; Acidobacteriota.
UAGGGAAUCUUCCACAAUGGACGCAAGUCUGAUGGAGCAACGCCGCGUGAGUGAAGAAGGUUUUCGGCUCGUAAAGCUCUGUUGUUGGUGAAGAAGGAUAGAGGUAGUAACUGGCCUUUAUUUGAUGGUAAUCAACCAGAAAGUCACGGCUAACUACGUGCCAGCAGCCGCGGUAAUACGUAGGUGGCAAGCGUUGUCCGGAUUUAUUGGGCGUAAAGCGAGCGCAGGCGGAAGAAUAAGUCUGAUGUGAAAGCCCUCGGCUUAACCGAGGAACUGCAUCGGAAACUGUUUUUCUUGAGUGCAGAAGAGGAGAGUGGAACUCCAUGUGUAGCGGUGGAAUGCGUAAAUAUAUGGAAGAACACCAGUGGCGAAGGCGACUCUCUGGUCUGCAACUGACGCUGAGGCUCGAAAGCAUGGGUAGCGAACAGG